UGUUGGGGUUGUAGGACACUCUAUACGGAGUUACAAAGGACGACAUUAGACGAAUCAUCUGGAAAGAUGAAUCAAAGAAGGUAAUAAUCCUGUAGUCGAAAAUGUUGUCUCUCUUGAGUGGAUCCUGAGUACGACGGAGCACGUGAAAUUCCGUCGGAAUCUGGGAGGACCAUCUCCUAAGGCUAAAUACUCUCUAGUGACCGAUAGUGAACCAGUACCGUGAGGGAAAGGUGAAAAGCACCCCGGAAGGGGAGUGAAAUAGAACCUGAAACCGUGUGCUUACAAGUAGUCAGAGCCCGUUAAUGGGUGAUGGCGUGCCUUUUGUAGAAUGAACCGGCGAGUUACGAUUUGAUGCAAGGUUAAGCAGUAAAUGUGGAGCCGUAGCGAAAGCGAGUCUGAAUAGGGCGUUUAGUAUUUGGUCGUAGACCCGAAACCAGGUGAUCUACCCUUGGUCAGGUUGAAGUUCAGGUAACACUGAAUGGAGGACCGAACCGACUUACGUUGAAAAGUGAGCGGAUGAACUGAGGGUAGCGGAGAAAUUCCAAUCGAACCUGGAGAUAGCUGGUUCUCUCCGAAAUAGCUUUAGGGCUAGCCUCAAGUGAUGAUUAUUGGAGGUAGAGCACUGUUUGGACGAGGGGCCCCUCUCGGGUUACCGAAUUCAGACAAACUCCGAAUGCCAAUUAAUUUAACUUGGGAGUCAGAACAUGGGUGAUAAGGUCCGUGUUCGAAAGGGAAACAGCCCAGACCACCAGCUAAGGUCCCAAAAUAUAUGUUAAGUGGAAAAGGAUGUGGCGUUGCCCAGACAACUAGGAUGUUGGCUUAGAAGCAGCCAUCAUUUAAAGAGUGCGUAAUAGCUCACUAGUCGAGUGACACUGCGCCGAAAAUGUACCGGGGCUAAACAUAUUACCGAAGCUGUGGAUUGUCCUUUGGACAAUGGUAGGAGAGCGUUCUAAGGGCGUUGAAGCAUGAUCGUAAGGACAUGUGGAGCGCUUAGAAGUGAGAAUGCCGGUGUGAGUAGCGAAAGACGGGUGAGAAUCCCGUCCACCGAUUGACUAAGGUUUCCAGAGGAAGGCUCGUCCGCUCUGGGUUAGUCGGGUCCUAAGCUGAGGCCGACAGGCGUAGGCGAUGGAUAACAGGUUGAUAUUCCUGUACCACCUAUAAUCGUUUUAAUCGAUGGGGGGACGCAGUAGGAUAGGCGAAGCGUGCGAUUGGAUUGCACGUCUAAGCAGUAAGGCUGAGUAUUAGGCAAAUCCGGUACUCGUUAAGGCUGAGCUGUGAUGGGGAGAAGACAUUGUGUCUUCGAGUCGUUGAUUUCACACUGCCGAGAAAAGCCUCUAGAUAGAAAAUAGGUGCCCGUACCGCAAACCGACACAGGUAGUCAAGAUGAGAAUUCUAAGGUGAGCGAGCGAACUCUCGUUAAGGAACUCGGCAAAAUGACCCCGUAACUUCGGGAGAAGGGGUGCUCUUUAGGGUUAACGCCCAGAAGAGCCGCAGUGAAUAGGCCCAAGCGACUGUUUAUCAAAAACACAGGUCUCUGCUAAACCGUAAGGUGAUGUAUAGGGGCUGACGCCUGCCCGGUGCUGGAAGGUUAAGAGGAGUGGUUAGCUUCUGCGAAGCUACGAAUCGAAGCCCCAGUAAACGGCGGCCGUAACUAUAACGGUCCUAAGGUAGCGAAAUUCCUUGUCGGGUAAGUUCCGACCCGCACGAAAGGCGUAACGAUUUGGGCACUGUCUCAACGAGAGACUCGGUGAAAUCAUAGUACCUGUGAAGAUGCAGGUUACCCGCGACAGGACGGAAAGACCCCGUGGAGCUUUACUGUAGCCUGAUAUUGAAAUUCGGCACAGCUUGUACAGGAUAGGUAGGAGCCUUUGAAACGUGAGCGCUAGCUUACGUGGAGGCGCUGGUGGGAUACUACCCUAGCUGUGUUGGCUUUCUAACCCGCACCACUUAUCGUGGUGGGAGACAGUGUCAGGCGGGCAGUUUGACUGGGGCGGUCGCCUCCUAAAAGGUAACGGAGGCGCUCAAAGGUUCCCUCAGAAUGGUUGGAAAUCAUUCAUAGAGUGUAAAGGCAUAAGGGAGCUUGACUGCGAGACCUACAAGUCGAGCAGGGUCGAAAGACGGACUUAGUGAUCCGGUGGUUCCGCAUGGAAGGGCCAUCGCUCAACGGAUAAAAGCUACCCCGGGGAUAACAGGCUUAUCUCCCCCAAGAGUUCACAUCGACGGGGAGGUUUGGCACCUCGAUGUCGGCUCAUCGCAUCCUGGGGCUGUAGUCGGUCCCAAGGGUUGGGCUGUUCGCCCAUUAAAGCGGUACGCGAGCUGGGUUCAGAACGUCGUGAGACAGUUCGGUCCCUAUCCGUCGUGGGCGUAGGAAAUUUGAGAGGAGCUGUCCUUAGUACGAGAGGACCGGGAUGGACAUACCUCUGGUGUACCAGUUGUCGUGCCAACGGCAUAGCUGGGUAGCUAUGUGUGGACGGGAUAAGUGCUGAAAGCAUCUAAGCAUGAAGCCCCCCUCAAGAUGAGAUUUCCCAACUUCGGUUAU
This 2539-nucleotide ribosomal RNA is filed under the name Staphylococcus aureus. RNAcentral's name for it is "bacterial LSU rRNA". It matches the Rfam family "Bacterial large subunit ribosomal RNA", at positions 290 to 2830 of the family's 2925-position model. The record is from RNAcentral. Lineage: Bacteria; Bacillati; Bacillota; Bacilli; Caryophanales; Staphylococcaceae.